AAAAAUUUAGUUAAGUUAUAACAUUAAUUUGUCAAAUUAAAGUAAUCUAUUAGAUAAUUUUUA
This 63-nucleotide transfer RNA is filed under the name Adoretus sp. ADO01. RNAcentral's name for it is "tRNA-Asp". Lineage: Eukaryota; Metazoa; Arthropoda; Insecta; Coleoptera; Scarabaeidae. The record is from RNAcentral.